CUAUAACUCCUGGGAGCACAUUAUUUUGGAAAAUUUUGGGACAAUAAAUAAUGGCAAUAUUAAUACUCAAAUUUUUUGUGGGAUAUUAUUUGAGGAAGUAAGUGUGAGGUCUCAUUUUGGUCUUAGAAAAAUUAAGGUGUUUUUAGGUGUUUUGAGCCAAAAAUGACUUCUCUUAACCACCUUCACCUAAGCCUUACAUUACAAGCUUGAAAAAGUCCUUUUGAUCUUUGGUUUGUGUUUGUCUACAUUAGUGGAGAGAGAGAUGAAAAACAAACCUAUGAGACUUUUUCACUUUAGAGAUUUUGUGCUUAAUUCAUAUUUACAUAAAUUGAUCUAAAUUGCAAGUAAUAUUUUGAUAAAAGGCAUUUCACACACACACUUGGAGUAAUCGAAAUUGGAAUGAAACUUGUGCUUGAAUUCUUCACAAUCAUUGGACAAUCUUUUUAUUUUUCUCUAAGCUAUGUUCAUUAAUCAACCUUUAAGGAAAUGUGGAGAUCACCAACUUUAGUGUCAUAUUGCCUAUUGUUUUACAUUGAUUUUAGUUUAUUUUUUCUUUUUGCUUGAGGACAAGCAAAGUUUAAAGUUUGGGGUGUGAUAACUCUAUGAAAAUAGAGUUAUUUAUAUCUUUUUGGGCAUUAAAUUAGUUUUGUUCUCAAGAAUUUUUAGUUUAUUUUAGUGACUUUUAUUUGGUUUUCUUUAAUUUUGCAUAAAUAUUAAUUUUAGUAUUUUGAAAUUAGUUUUAAUUAAUUUUUUUAAUUUUUAUUUGUUUAUUUAGUCUCCCAAUUAAUUAAAUAUAAUUGUGUGUGAUGUUGUAGGAAUUUAAAUGCAAAAUUGAUAUUAAGUGUUAUGGGCCAUGAUGUUGGGCUUUUAUUUCACUAGUUGAAAGUCAAAAGAAAGAAAGAUUGGGCCAAAAAAAAAAAACAAAGAGAAAAGAAAAUCAAGUGAGGGCUUGAUUUGGAAAAAAAAUAGAAAUGAAAAAAAAAAAAAAAGACAUUAUAUAUAUGAUGGAUUGAAGGCAGUAGGCGUGAUACAAGAUUGAAGAAAAGGGGCGGCUGGGCUGCUUGCUCCUGACGCCGAAGAAAAUGAAGAAAAAGAAGAAAAAGAAAAUGAAGAAAAAGAAAAAGAAGAAAAAGAGAGAGAGAGUUUUAUUUAGGGUUUUAAUUUAGCAUUUUUAUUUAGAGAUUGGCAAAAAUUAAGAGGAAGAAGAAGAGAAAUUUGGAAGAGGAACUUGGAGUAUUGUGACAAGCUCCAAAUGGGUUCAAAAAAUAAAGGACGGAAGCUACCUAUUCAAAAUUCAAUCCCAUAAACAUUAAAAAGGAGAAUGUGAAAGGAGAAGCAGUGAGCUGGAACAGGCAGCAAGGGAAGGAUCGACCUCAUAGUCUACUCAACAAUGAAGUUAACUGUUAUAGUAUUAGUUUGUCAUAGUUAAAUGUUAUGUAAUUGUUAGUGUUAAAUGUUAUAGCAUUACUGCUACUGCCUCCAUUAAUAGAAAGCUUUUAUUUUGGAAUAGAUAACUUUUGCGCUAGGUUUAUUUUGGAACAAAUCUUUUUAGAAUGGUUAGGUAAUUGAGUCUUUAACUUUUGUGAUAGGUUUAUUUUGGGACAAAUCCUGUUGGAAUAUGUAUACUUUAACUUUUAUGUUGGCAGUAGAAGAUCUAAACUUGUCAAAAUAACCAUUUUCAUUCCAAAAUAUCAAGUAUUACAUGCAAAAUUAAUAGGAACACUUGUUCAAAAUCCUACUAAAUAAUAAAGUUAAAAUAGGAUCUUGAACCAAAACAAUACAAAAGAAACAACAACGCAAAUGACAAUAUUUUUACAAAAGGCAUUUUUACUAUUUUUAUGGCAGCUCGAACACUGAGGAACUCGAACACUUGGACUGUUAUCAUGGAGGCUCUCACUUUCAGGUAGCCUUUUAAGUUAAGGUUGCUCAUUUAUUUCUCUCACUUAUGACCUAAAAAUUAUUGAUAUUUCUUGUUUUAACUGACGAAUCUUUUUCAACAGGCUAGGAAUCACAAUAGUGGCACGAUCACACAUAGGAGGAUCGAUUCAUUCCCAAAACUCACACCCACCACGACGCUGCCAAUCAAGAAAUAUUGGCAUAGUAUAGCGAAGAAAAACCUAAAAAAAAAAGGAAAAAAGAAAGAGAAGAAGAGAACUCACAAGACUUAGAGGGUACUUUGCAGAUCUUCUUCCUGGGUUCGAACUCGUCCACGAGGUGUAACAUUUUGGGAUUUUAGGCUACUCGCAAUCGCAAUUCCUCCUUUAGACCGUCACCAUUUUCUUCUUUUUCGCACAACAAUGGCGCCUAGUUUCUUUCUCUCCUUUCGAUCUUCUUCAUUCUUUGUUUUUUGUUUAUUUAUUUAUAUUUUUCUUCUAUUUUCAUUUAUUUUUUAAUUUUUAUCU
Long non-coding RNA from Cannabis sativa, 2402 nucleotides. RefSeq lists it as uncharacterized. NCBI's taxonomy places the organism in Eukaryota, Viridiplantae, Streptophyta, Magnoliopsida, Rosales, Cannabaceae. The transcript is spliced from 2 exons. The record is from RefSeq and is a predicted model, not a curated record.